AUAUUUAAAACUUUAAUAAUAAAUUAUUAUUAAUUAUUAAUUCUAUGCAAAUAAAUAAUUUAAGAUAUUUAAAUAUA
This 77-nucleotide transfer RNA is filed under the name Metaperipatus inae. Its description in RNAcentral is "tRNA-Asn". The record is from RNAcentral. Lineage: Eukaryota; Metazoa; Onychophora; Udeonychophora; Euonychophora; Peripatopsidae.